This is a long non-coding RNA of Haliotis rubra (blacklip abalone), 642 nucleotides long. RefSeq lists it as uncharacterized. Lineage: Eukaryota; Metazoa; Mollusca; Gastropoda; Lepetellida; Haliotidae. The transcript has 3 exons. The record is from RefSeq and is a predicted model, not a curated record.
UCAAGGACAAUUCAAGGACAUUUCAAGGCUCUUCUUGCCUCCCAACUUGAAUUCAUCUGACAGAAGCAAGAAGUGGCCAUGAAAUGUGCCUGCAAAUGUAAUGAGAACAAAAGCAAUCCUGACAUUUAUGAACAAGAAGUUGUUAUCCAUAAAAAAGUGUCAUCUCUUCAUGAUCAUGUACUUCUUUUUUCUAACCUGUCUACCACUGACUAUGCUGAAUGAAAUGGGCAGGAGGAUGUGUCAGUGGUAGCCCCUCUGUUCUGUCUACCUGGAACAAUCACUGACAGACAGAAGGUGGCCCACUGGGUACUGUGUCUUGUCAUGAGACAUACAGUCCAGGUUUGAAUCCCGACACAAGCUUCCUGUUCUGGGACAACUGAACUAUUUCUCUCCAAAUGCACUACUACUGACUUCCAGAAGGUGGCCCACUGGUUACUGUGUCUUAUGAGACACAGUUCAGGUUUGAAUCCUGACAUUUGUUAAUCACUGGUUGUGUCCCUCCCACUCACAUCUACAAAGCUGCUACAACUACUCGCGUCAUGCUAUGAGAGCCCUGGACUACAUCCCUGCUGAAAACACAGGCCAACUCCCAAGGUUACACUACAUCAUACAAAUAUACACUUUAGCACAACACUCUCUGAA